GGCAGCAGCUAAGAAUAUUCCGCAAUGGGGGGAACCCUGACGGAGCGACGCCGCGUGGGCGAUGAAGGCCGGAAGGUUGUAAAGCCCUUUUAUGCGCGAGGAAUAAGGAGGGGAGGCAAUGCCCCUCUGGUGACUGUAGCGCAUGAAUAAGCGCCGGCUAAUUACGUGCCAGCAGCCGCGGUAACACGUAAGGCGCAAGCGUUGUUCGGAAUCAUUGGGCGUAAAGGGCGUGUAGGCGGCCGCAUAAGUCGGGAGUGAAAGGCGCGGGCUCAACCCGCGGACUGCUCCCGAUACUGUGCGGCUCGAGUCCCCGUGGCGCGGCCGGAAUUCCAGGUGUAGGGGUGAAAUCUGUAGAUAUCUGGAAGAACACCGGUGGCGAAGGCGGGCCGCGAGCGGGAGACUGACGCUGAGGCGCGAAGGUGCGGGUAGCGAACAGGAUUAGAUACCCUGGUAGUCCGCACAGUAAACGAUGCACGCUGGGCGUCCGGCGCAUGGCCGGGUGCCGAAGCGAACGCGGUAAGCGUGCCGCCUGGGGAGUAUGCCCGCAAGGGUGAAACUCAAAGGAAUUGACGG
RNAcentral lists this ribosomal RNA (573 nucleotides) under uncultured rumen bacterium. RNAcentral describes it as "bacterial SSU rRNA". It matches the Rfam family "Bacterial small subunit ribosomal RNA", at positions 347 to 916 of the family's 1533-position model. The record is from RNAcentral.